GAUGAACGCUAGCUACAGGCUUAACACAUGCAAGUCGCGGGGCAGCAUGUAUCUGGCUUGCCAGAUACGAUGGCGACCGGCGCACGGGUGAGUAACGCGUAUCCAACCUGCCCAUAACCACGGCACAGCCCGUCGAAAGGCGGAUUAAUGCCGUAUGAGGUUCCAGUGUAGCAUUAUGGUGGAACGAAGGAUUUGGCGGUUAUGGAUGGGGAUGCGUCCGAUUAGCUAGUUGGCGGGGUAACGGCCCACCAAGGCGACGAUCGGUAGGGGUUCUGAGAGGAAGGUCCCCCACACUGGAACUGAGACACGGUCCAGACUCCUACGGGAGGCAGCAGUGAGGAAUAUUGGUCAAUGGGCGCGAGACUGAACCAGCCAAGUAGCGUGCAGGAUGACGGCCCUCUGGGUUGUAAACUGCUUUUAGUGGGAAUAAAAGGCGGUACGUGUACCGCGUAUUGUAUGUACCAUCAGAAAAAAGGACCGGCUAAAUUCCCGUAGCCAGCAGCCG
RNAcentral lists this ribosomal RNA (505 nucleotides) under uncultured bacterium. RNAcentral describes it as "bacterial SSU rRNA". It matches the Rfam family "Bacterial small subunit ribosomal RNA", at positions 28 to 517 of the family's 1533-position model. The record is from RNAcentral.